UGGAUAUGAUGAGUGGUCAAUGCUCGCAUUAUAAUAUGCGGGGAGGGCGUUCCAGCCUAGCCUGGUUACGAUAAUUUGGAUACCCUCACUUUUCACCAAUCUGAUCCC
Molecule: small nucleolar RNA, 108 nt
Organism: Capsicum annuum
Lineage: Eukaryota; Viridiplantae; Streptophyta; Magnoliopsida; Solanales; Solanaceae
Product: small nucleolar RNA Z279/snoR105/snoR108
Exons: 1
Source: RefSeq, a predicted model, not a curated record